AGGUUGUGAGAGCUUGCUUUCGCAACCUAGUGGCGCACGGGUGAGUAACGCGUGGGUAACCUGCCAUAAAGUCUGGGAUAACACUGGGAAACCAGUGCUAAUACCGGUUAACCCCGAAUAUCGUAUGGUUUUCGGGUGAAAGCUGCCCUCUACUUGUAAGGUAGCGCUUUUUGAGGGGCCCGCGUCCUAUUAGUUAGUUGGUAGGGUAAUGGCCUACCAAGACAGAGAUGGGUAGCCGGCUUGAGAGAGUGAUCGGCCACACUGGAACUGAGACACGGUCCAGACUCC
This 288-nucleotide ribosomal RNA is filed under the name uncultured bacterium. RNAcentral's name for it is "partial 16S ribosomal RNA". It matches the Rfam family "Bacterial small subunit ribosomal RNA", at positions 67 to 339 of the family's 1533-position model. The record is from RNAcentral.